GCAGUGGUGAGGGAGUCUCCUGAGCUUGCAAGGUAAAGUGAAGGGUGUGGGGCUGGGAGGAGGCAGCCUGCAUGCCCCAGGCAGGGACAAGUAGAGGGACACCUGCCCCAAAGGAACAGCAAAGGAGCUGUGGGGAUGCGCAUGCUGCCUAAACCCAGCCUAGCCUAGACCAGUCCAGUCCAGCCGCAUGUGUCACAGAAGAAGCUUUGCAGGAGAAAACAGGGUUCCUGGAUCAUCUAAGCCAAGGACCUGGCAAGAGACGCCAGGCUCAAGGGAACAAGCAGAGACAAUGACAUCAGAGCUGUGACAUCACUGCCUAAUCUCCAAUCAGAGAAGGGACACCCAGGACUUCAUCUCUUAGGGGACCAGAACUCUAAGCAGGGAGACACCUGCCCAGUUCUGCUCCACCUGCCAUGGGCUCCAGGCUCCUGUGCUGUGUGGCCCUUUGUCUCCUGGGAGCAGGCCCAGUGGAUCCCGGAGUACCUCAAAUACCAAGACACCUGAUUAAAACAAGAGGGCAGCAAAUGACAAUGAGGUGUUCACCCAUCUCUGGGCACAACAGUAUAUCUUGGUACCAACAGGCCCUGGGCCAGGGCCCCCAGUUCCUCGUUCAGUAUUACGAUGGGGAAGAGAAUGAUAAAAGAAAUAUCCCGGAUCGAUUCUCAGGGCAACAGUUCAGUAACUAUAGCUCUGAGCUGAAUGUGAGCAUCUUGCAGCUGAUGGACUCACCCCUGUAUCUCUGUGCCAGCAGCGUGACACAGCCCUGCAGAGUCACCAAUGUUCUGUGCACAAACCUCCCUGCCCCAACGUGGAGCAACGUUAGAGCUGACAGAUCUAUGAGAACCUCAAGUCUGCAGUGGGAAAGAGAAAUGACUUAGGGCCCUGGAAAUUGCAGCCUCGGGCUCUUCUGCCACUCAGGGACAUGGGACAACAGGGAACAAGAAGAUUUGUUCAGAGAAUGGU
This is a non-coding RNA of Ceratotherium simum simum (southern white rhinoceros), 963 nucleotides long. The record is from the annotation of a RefSeq genome assembly. Lineage: Eukaryota; Metazoa; Chordata; Mammalia; Perissodactyla; Rhinocerotidae.